GCGCCCUUAGCUCAGUGGAUAGAGCAUCGGUUUUCUAAACCGAGGGUCCGAGGUUCGAGUCCUCGAGGGCGCGCCA
RNAcentral lists this transfer RNA (76 nucleotides) under Alphaproteobacteria bacterium MarineAlpha5_Bin11. RNAcentral describes it as "tRNA-Arg". It matches the Rfam family "tRNA". Rfam says of the family: Transfer RNA (tRNA) molecules are approximately 80 nucleotides in length. The record is from RNAcentral. RNAcentral also lists the same sequence under 1 other name. Lineage: Bacteria; Pseudomonadati; Pseudomonadota; Alphaproteobacteria.